This 256-nucleotide unclassified non-coding RNA is filed under the name uncultured fungus. RNAcentral describes it as "partial contains 5.8S ribosomal RNA, internal transcribed spacer 2, and large subunit ribosomal RNA". The stretch from base 1 to 52 matches the Rfam family "5.8S ribosomal RNA", at positions 103 to 154 of the family's 154-position model. The record is from RNAcentral. Lineage: Eukaryota; Fungi.
AACGCACAUUGCGCCCUUUGGUAUUCCAAAGGGCAUGCCUGUUCGAGCGUCAUUUGUACCCUCAAGCUUUGCUUGGUGUUGGGCGUUUUUGUCUCGGGUCCGCCCCGAGACUCGCCUUAAAAUCAUUGGCAGCCGGCCUACUGGUUUCGGAGCGCAGCACAUUUUUACGCUUUGUCCAGUCGUGGUCUUGCGUCCAUGAAGCGAAUAUUUUUCAACGUUUGACCUCGGAUCAGGUAGGGAUACCCGCUGAACUUAA